GACGAACGCUGGCGGCGUGCUUAACACAUGCAAGUCGAACGGAAAGGCCCUGCUUUUGUGGGGUGCUCGAGUGGCGAACGGGUGAGUAACACGUGAGUAACCUGCCCUUGACUUUGGGAUAACUUCAGGAAACUGGGGCUAAUACCGGAUAGGAGCUCCUGCUGCAUGGUGGGGGUUGGAAAGUUUCGGCGGUUGGGGAUGGACUCGCGGCUUAUCAGCUUGUUGGUGGGGUAGUGGCUUACCAAGGCUUUGACGGGUAGCCGGCCUGAGAGGGGGACCGGCCACAAUGGGACUGAGAGACGGCCCAGAAGCCUACGGUAGGCAGCAGUGGGGAGUAUUGCACAGUGGGCGGAAGCCUGAUGCGGCAGCGCCGCGUGCGGGAUGACGUCCUUCGGGUUGUAAACCGCUUUCGCCUGUGACGAAGCGUGAGUGACGGUAAUGGGUAAAGAAGCACCGGCUAACUACGUG
RNAcentral lists this ribosomal RNA (468 nucleotides) under uncultured bacterium. Its description in RNAcentral is "partial 16S ribosomal RNA". It matches the Rfam family "Bacterial small subunit ribosomal RNA", at positions 28 to 507 of the family's 1533-position model. The record is from RNAcentral.